CUACUGCGGAGGACAUUAUGAUUUUGAACGGGUUGUAGCUGGCCUUACGGGGCAUUUUGUGCACGCCCUGCUCAUUUGUCCCCAUCUCACACCUGUGCACACUCUGUAGGAUGGUUAUAGCAGUGAAGCCUUCAGUGGUUUUGCUAUGCGUAGCCUUCCUAUGUUUUAUCACACACUACUCAGUUUAAAGAAUGUCCUUUGCGUCUAACGCAUUUAAAUACAACUUUCAGCAACGGAUCUCUUGGCUCUCGCAUCGAUGAAGAACGCAGCGAAAUGCGAUAAGUAAUGUGAAUUGCAGAAUUCAGUGAAUCAUCGAAUCUUUGAACGCACCUUGCGCUCCUUGGUAUUCCGAGGAGCAUGCCUGUUUGAGUGUCAUGAAAUUCUCAACUCCCUUUCACUUGUGAACAUGGGAUGUUGGAUGUGGAGGUUUUUGCUGGAUGCUCUUAUGUAUUCAGCUCCUCUUGAAUGCAUUAGCUUGAACCUUUUGUGGAUCAGCUUCGGUGUGAUAAUUGUCUACGCCGUUCUGUGAAGCAAUAUAUAUGUUAGAGCUUCCAACCGUGUCCUGUACACAAUUCUUGACCUUUGACCUCAAAUCAGGUAGGAUUACCCGCUGAACUUAAGCAUAUCAAAA
This 631-nucleotide ribosomal RNA is filed under the name Antrodia huangshanensis. Its description in RNAcentral is "eukaryotic LSU rRNA". The stretch from base 222 to 375 matches the Rfam family "5.8S ribosomal RNA". Lineage: Eukaryota; Fungi; Basidiomycota; Agaricomycetes; Polyporales; Fomitopsidaceae. The record is from RNAcentral.